AGCGAACGCUGGCGGCAGGCUUAACACAUGCAAGUCGAGCGGGCACUUUCGGGUGUCAGCGGCGGACGGGUGAGUAACGCGUGGGAACGUGCCCUCUGGUUCGGAAUAACUCAGGGAAACUUGAGCUAAUACCGGAUACGCUCUUUCGGGGAAAGGCCUGCUGCCGGAGGAUCGGCCCGCGUCUGAUUAGCUAGUUGGUGAGGUAACGGCGCACCAAGGCGACGAUCAGUAGCUGGUCUGAGAGGAUGAUCAGCCACACUGGGACUGAGACACGGCCCAGACUCCUACGGGAGGCAGCAGGGGGGAAUAUUGGACACUGGGCGCAAGCCUGAGCCAGCCAUGCCGCGUGAGUGAUGAAGGCCUUAGGGUUGUAAAGCUCUUUUAUCCGGGACGAUAGUGACGGUAGCGGAGAAAUAAGCCCCGGCUAACUUCGUG
Molecule: ribosomal RNA, 435 nt
Filed under: uncultured bacterium
Lineage: Bacteria
Description: partial 16S ribosomal RNA
Rfam family: Bacterial small subunit ribosomal RNA
Source: RNAcentral